GUGCCAGCAGCCGCGGUAAUACAGAGGGUGCGAGCGUUGUCCGGAAUCACUGGGCGUAAAGGGCGCGUAGGCGGCUGGCUAAGCGGGUGGUGAAAGCCCGGGGCUCAACCCCGGGUCGGCCAUGCGAACUGGUCAGCUGGAGCACGGUAGAGGCACAUGGAAUUCCGGGUGUAGCGGUGGAAUGCGUAGAGAUCCGGAAGAACACCGGUGGCGAAGGCGGUGUGCUGGGCCGUAGCUGACGCUGAGGCGCGACAGCGUGGGGAGCAAACAGGAUUAGAUACCCCAGUAGUCC
RNAcentral lists this ribosomal RNA (292 nucleotides) under uncultured bacterium. RNAcentral's name for it is "partial 16S ribosomal RNA". It matches the Rfam family "Bacterial small subunit ribosomal RNA", at positions 505 to 796 of the family's 1533-position model. The record is from RNAcentral.